CAGGACGAACGCUGGCGGCGUGCCUAAUACAUGCAAGUCGAACGGUCUUUCUAUGGAAGCUUGCUUCCGCUGAGAAGAUAGUGGCGAACGGGUGAGUAACACGUGGGUAACCUGCCCAUAAGAGGGGGAUAACAUCCGGAAACGGGUGCUAAUACCGCAUAGUUUUCUUGAUCGCAUGAUCGGGAAAGGAAAGACGGCCUUUGUGCUGUCGCUUAUGGAUGGACCCGCGGCGUAUUAGUUAGUUGGUGAGGUAACGGCUCACCAAGACGAUGAUACGUAGCCGACCUGAGAGGGUGAUCGGCCACAUUGGGACUGAGACACGGCCCAAACUCCUACGGGAGGCAGCAGUAGGGAAUCUUCCGCAAUGGACGAAAGUCUGACGGAGCAACGCCGCGUGAGUGAAGAAGGUUUUUCCGGAUCGUAAAACUCUGUUGUCAGAGAAGAACAAGUUGGAGAGUAACUGCUCCAGCCUUGACGGUAUCUGACCAGAAAGCCACGGCUAACUACGUGCCAGCCGCUGC
RNAcentral lists this ribosomal RNA (521 nucleotides) under uncultured bacterium. RNAcentral's name for it is "bacterial SSU rRNA". It matches the Rfam family "Bacterial small subunit ribosomal RNA", at positions 25 to 518 of the family's 1533-position model. The record is from RNAcentral.